GUGGUGGAGGGCGUAUGUGGGGACAGGACAGUAAACGGGAACUGUCUGCACUUUCCACUCAAUUUCACUGAGAACCUAAAACUAUUCUGAAAAAUAAGGUUUGUUAAUUUAAGUGAGAAAAGUGUCCAGAGUGGCAACUCACUGAUGAAAGAAAUAGAGAUUAGAGUUUAGAGAUAGUAAGCAACAGGGAUUUCAAGGUCAGGGUAUGAGAGAGGAGAGAGGUCCACAGAAGAAGUUCCAAGAACCUACAAUAA
RNAcentral lists this long non-coding RNA (254 nucleotides) under Homo sapiens (human). Its description in RNAcentral is "non-protein coding lnc-ALDH1A2-6:1". The record is from RNAcentral. Lineage: Eukaryota; Metazoa; Chordata; Mammalia; Primates; Hominidae.